CCUACGGGUGGCAGCAGUGAGGAAUAUUGGUCAAUGGGCGCUAGCCUGAACCAGCCAAGUAGCGUGAAGGAUGACUGCCCUAUGUGUUGUAAACUUCUUCUAUAUGGGAAUAAAGUGCAGUAUGUAUACUGCUUUGCAUGUACCUUAUGAAUAAGGAUCGGCUAACUACGUGCCAGCAGCCGCGGUAAUACGGAGGAUUCGAGCGUUAUCCGUAUUUAUUGGGUUUAAAGGGAGCGUAGGCGGGUUGUUAAGUCAGUUGUGAAAGUUUGCGGCUCAACCGUAAAAUUGCAGUUGAUACUGACAGCCUUGAGUACAGUAGAGGUAGGCGGAAUUCGUGGUGUAGCGGUGAAAUGCUUAGAUAUCACGAAGAACUCCGAUUGCGAAGGCGGCCUGCUGGACUGUAACUGACGCUGAUGCUCGAAAGUGUGGGUAUCAAACAGGAUUAGAUACCCCAGUAGUC
This 460-nucleotide ribosomal RNA is filed under the name uncultured bacterium. RNAcentral's name for it is "partial 16S ribosomal RNA". It matches the Rfam family "Bacterial small subunit ribosomal RNA", at positions 338 to 795 of the family's 1533-position model. The record is from RNAcentral.